This is an RNA transcript of Triticum aestivum (bread wheat), 4060 nucleotides long. RefSeq lists it as uncharacterized. NCBI's taxonomy places the organism in Eukaryota, Viridiplantae, Streptophyta, Magnoliopsida, Poales, Poaceae. The record is from RefSeq and is a predicted model, not a curated record. The transcript is spliced from 4 exons.
UCCAGCCUCGCCGCCGCCUCCUCUCCUCCCCUGUGCCCCGCUCCUCCCGCCUAGCCGCCGCCUCCUCUCCCCUCCCUGCCCCGCCGUCGCCCGGCUUCGUCCCCUCAUGGCCUCCUCCUUCCACCCCUCAUCUGGCGCCUCCCAAACCCUAAUGCCUGGCCCCGGCUCCGGCUCCCACGGGAGGGAAGGAGGAAUGGCGAGGCGAGGCAAAUGCGGUGGCGUAUGGGACGCGGCGUGGGCGGUCGGCCUCCUCCUCCCCUACUCCCUCGCCAUGCUGGUUCUGGAGCUGCUCGAUGCGCCGACCAAGUACGCCGACCCCUUCCAACGGCCUCCUCUCCUAAGGUCGCGGCACCCGGCACUGUCCAGAUCCCAGAGGAGUACGUGGAUGAUGUCGAAGCGAUGGAUGUCACUCAGAAUCCUCCACGAGAAGAAGUCCACAAAACAAUUGAAGAUUGCAGGGCUGCUGGUAUACGUGUUAUGGUGAUAACAAAGAAACAGCAGAGGCGAUAUGCCGUGAGAUUGGGGUUUUUGGUCCCAGUGAAAACAUUAGCUCAAAGGGCUUUGCAGGGAAGGAAUUUAUGGCUCUUCUGAUAAGAAGUUGUUGAGGCAAACAUGUGGCCUUCUCUUCUCAAGGGCAGAGCCAAAACAUAAGCAGGAAGUUGUUAGGCUGCUCAAAGAAGAUGGUGAAGUUGUUGCAAUGACUGGUGAUGGAGUGAAUGAUGCACCAGCACUGAAAUUAGCUGAUAUUGGAAUUGCGAUGGGCAUUACAGGGACUGAAGUCGCCUUCAUUCUCUUCUUUAAAUCAGUCGUCCUUUUUAGUUCUAUUUUUAAGAUCCAUUCCUAUUUUGUGUAAUUCAUCGUUAGCUUAUUUAAUUAUUUUUAUUUCCAUAGAAAAAUGUCACCUGCUGACAUCUCAAGAGUACUGUUUUAGGCUACACCUGAUCACCUUACAUAUGCAAUUGAAUCCAUUUUGUUAGUGUCUGAUUGUUUUCUAUCAUUGAAGGUGCUUCUAUCUAUCUAUUGAACUUCACACCCGAAUAGAGGUUAAAUGUUAUUGCUUCUAAUGUGAUUGUUGUCGUGGAUUCAGAUUUUUAGGUGUCUGAAGAAAUGUCGUUUAUGUUGCAUAGUAUAAUGGUUGUUUUUUUUAGUUAUUUGCAGUAAAAUAAAUCAAGGUUAGAUCGCUUGAUAUUCUACAUAACCUUUAUGUGUUUCAGAAAAAAAAACUAUGCAGUUUUGUAUACGUUUCAUCCAGAUUCUUUUUAAAUGCCCCCUAUUUGAGUGUAUGCUUUAGGGAGAAGCCUAACUUUUGAAUUUAAACUAUAGAAUGUGGUCACCUAAAUUGGAGUAGUCUAAUUGGUCACUUCAUUUUCUGUUUUCAAUAUUAUAAUGUAUUCUAAUUGUGAGAUAUGGUGCGCUGCCAUAUUAUGCAAAAUCUACCUGUAUUACUUGUUCAAACAUCAUGAACCUUAUUAUGCCAAUUGGUGCUCAGCAAGAGAGGCACAACCUCCGCCACACCGAAGAGACAGACAACUUCCAUGUAGAACUCCUUGAAGUGACUGCCGAUGAUGUACAUGUCCGUCUAUCUCUCAAUCUCGAUUUUCUUAUGGAUUGAAAGCUGAGAUGACAUGUCUUUGUGAGAUGCCAAUGCCAUGAUAAUUUGAUGACUGUCCCAGCUUUUUGAUUUUCAUUGGAAUGAUUUUAUAGCCUCUGUUAGUAGUGCUAUUUUCCUUAUUUUCAGUGCCACCAAAUUAAAUACCAUUGUUUCCAAUGUGUGUGUGUGUGUGUGUGUGUGUGUGUGCGCGCGCGCGCGUGUCUGUGGCAAGUUCUGCUCUAAACAAAUAUAUGAGACACACAAAUGCACAUGUGUAUUCAUGUUAUAUUGUUGUGACAGGUGCAAUUAUAUUUUGAUCCAAAGUUCUGAACAAGCAAAGGUACGAAUACUAAUGCCAGUGCAGUUUCGCUCUUCCUAGGAUGGCCUGGAUGGCCCGAGGUGAGCAGCCUUUGAUACACCGUGCAAGGCACCCAGGAGCUGCCUUCCAGAUAAGUCCCGUUGCCACCGACCGGAACGAGCUCGCUUCGGCCUCCUCUCCCCAACUAACGGCCUCUCUGAUCUUGCAGCUACUGCCUCAUCGCCAACCUACAACAACAAGGUGAGACUCCUGCCUUUAUAUGUUGUUGUGAUUAAGAAGGUUGGAGUAGCUUUGUUAAUGGAUGGAAUCACCUGCCUAUUCCAUUCACCAACCCCAAUGACCAGUGUUUAGCCCCAACGUCUGUUCGAUUGAAUCCCUUGCUACAGCCGCUAGGUCCUAGCCUCAUUUCGCUGGUUAAUUUUAUGUAUAAUUGUGUGAUAAGACAUUGAGGUGUAUGCAUAUCUAUCGCAGUAUAUCAUACUUUUGAUUGUAGUACAGGUAAUCUGGUCACCAUGUUAGAAAGGCAAAUGUUUGAUUUUGCAAUUAAUGUAUUCGUUGCAUGAAUGGUUAAUGGUUCCAUACCAAGGAUGACAUUUUCUCUCAUAUAUACUUCUAAAACACAUAUGUUCCUAGCUGACUUGGUGCUUUACUUUCAUUUGACUUUUAACAAUUUAAUGAUUUGAUUCUUUCGUGGAACAAACGAAAUACAAGAUGGCUGAAGCCUGUAGAACAUUGUAUUCGGUUUACUAUGUGGUUAUUUCAUUAAGAUUAUUGCGUCUCUUUUUGUUCCAAUAAUGUCAUUUUUGCUUCUCACUUUGUAACGAUUAUACCGCUGAUCAGUUUGUGUUGUGCUUCUUAGUAUCUUGCCAAUUCUACUUCUUGUUUCCAGAUGUAAUUACUUUUAAUAGCGCUUUAGUUCUACAAUCGACAGUUUCACAUCAUGCAAGGGCUGGGUUCAACCACUUGCAUGUUCGGUCAAAGGUAAAGAUGAAAGGACUUCUUAUUUUCUAUUGCUGCAUGGAAAGUUCACUGGAACUUAUGAUUCUAAGUGAGUGUGAAAUAACAUGCUUUAUCUUGACACAAUGACAUACGGAGAAACUAUACUUCCCAUAGUGAAGUUGGUAUUUUAAUUCACACAAGUUUCUGCGUACUGCUGAUUAAACCCAUACUUGUCAUAUGAAUAAAGUGAACAUCCAAAGGAAAUUGAUUUUUUUCUUGCACCGAUAAUCAUUCAGUUAUUAUUUUGCAGCACAUAUCCCAUUCAUUUUACCCCCUCUGUAUAUUUUGUAGGGCGCCGAUGUCUCAAAGCAGUAGUAUUGGUUUUUGAUGACCAAGUAGAAGGUUUUGUAUGUCAUGGGCUUGGCCGUGACGCCUUAGACCACGCCGCAACGUCGAAUAUGUCGUCCAUGGCCUCUUACGCCACCGCCAUUUCUGCCUCGCACUGCAUCAACCCCCUCCUUCACCAGCCACCGAUCAAACCCGUGAUGCUAGCUUCCUUGGAUUCUUCCGGUUCAAGUUCCCCACCGAAUCAUCCACCACAUGGAGAUGACUGCUAUCACGGUCAGACCAAGGGCUAUGUUCAGUGCGAUUCUUAGCAAGAUUUGUUUGUCUGAUGCAAAGUACGCGCGUUGUAGGAACUACAACCAACGUGUGGGUGCAACUGUGGUUUUCUGGCUGUCCAUGUUGCACUUUUCCGCAAUGGCAGAACCCAGGAAGAUCCAAGACAAUCCAACUAGGGAUAUUUCAACAGUUUGAAAUAAGGAAUUGGAACUGCAGCAUCCUGAAAUACUUGACAAACUAUAGGAAGAAGCAUCAAGGACUUGCUCACCAUGAAACAACUCCACAAUAUCAUUGUCACAUGCUGUUUUAUUUGCUAUGAGCAUCGGAUCCUUGCGAUUGACCCAUACGAAGUGACUUUAGCAAAGCUUGCCCUUUACCCUACUAAAGAGUUAUUGUCUUUUUGUAAUAGGAGUUGUUCAUUUUUAUUGCUCAACAUACCACUUUUGAGACUAUAAGUGAUAAUGAUAGUGGUUGGUAAGUUGUAUCGAGUCUCGCCUUACCUGUCCACCCUAAAACGUGUUAUCAGCCAAUGUGUAAGUGUAUAUAUUGCAAUGUAAAGCUCGUUGUGGUGUAAGUAUAUACACGCAAUA